UACAGAGGCCACGAGCGUUAAUCGGAAUCACUGGGCUUAAAGGGUGCGUAGGCUGAUCUGCAAGUGCUUUGUGAAAGCCCUAGGCUCAACCUAGGAAUUGCUUGGCAGACUGCAGAUCUUGAGGCAGACAGAGGCCGCUGGAACUCUAGGUGGAGCGGUGAAAUGCGUAGAUAUCUAGAGGAACGCCAAUGGUGAAGACAGGCGGCUGGGUCUGUUCUGACGCUGAGGCACGAAAGCGUGGGGAGCAAACGGG
Molecule: ribosomal RNA, 253 nt
Filed under: uncultured bacterium
Lineage: Bacteria
Description: partial 16S ribosomal RNA
Rfam family: Bacterial small subunit ribosomal RNA
Source: RNAcentral